RNAcentral lists this ribosomal RNA (421 nucleotides) under uncultured eukaryote. RNAcentral describes it as "bacterial SSU rRNA". It matches the Rfam family "Eukaryotic small subunit ribosomal RNA", at positions 1224 to 1657 of the family's 1831-position model. The record is from RNAcentral.
AUUGACACGGUAAGGAUUGACGGACUGAAGGCUCUUUCUCGAUUCCGUGGAAAGUGGUGCAUGGCCGUUUUGGUUGGUGGAUCGAUCCGUCUGGUUAAUUCCGUUAACGAACGAGACCUCGGCACUCCGAAUAGCGCGGCGGACGUCGCGGCCUCCGGGCCGUCUUCCGCACGAGCUUCUUAGAGGGACCGUCCCCCGCCGGGGAAGGAGGUGCGAGGCAACGACAGGUCUGUGAUGCCCUUAGAUGUUCUGGGCCGCACGCGCAUUACACUGACGCGUCCAACGGGUGACUCCCGACCCGAAGGGGCCGGGGAAUCCGCAAGGCGCGUCGUGAUGGGGAUUGAACGUUGCAAUUGUUGUUCACGAACGAGGAAUUCCUAGUAGGCGCGGGUCAUCAACCCGCGCCGAUUACGUCCCUGCC